Molecule: ribosomal RNA, 505 nt
Filed under: uncultured bacterium
Lineage: Bacteria
Description: bacterial SSU rRNA
Rfam family: Bacterial small subunit ribosomal RNA
Source: RNAcentral
GACGAACGCUGGCGGCGUGCCUAACACAUGCAAGUCGAGCGGAGUCGAUCGACGGAAGCCUUCGGGCGGAAGAUGGUUGACUUAGCGGCGGAUGGGUGAGUAACGCGUGGGCAACCUGCCUCGAAGACCGGGAUAACAGCCCGAAAGGGCUGCUAAUACCGGAUGUGGUCAAGGAUCCGCAUGGAUUUUGAUUAAAGGGGAAACCCGUUUCGAGAUGGGCCCGCGUCCUAUCAGCUAGUUGGUGAGGUAAAAGCUCACCAAGGCGACGACGGGUAGCCGGCCUGAGAGGGUGACCGGCCACACUGGAACUGAGACACGGUCCAGACUCCUACGGGGGGCAGCAGUGGGGAAUCUUCCACAAUGGGCGAAAGCCUGAUGGAGCGACGCCGCGUGAGCGAAGAAGGCCUUCGGGUUGUAAACUGCUUUAGUCUAGGAAAAAGGGGUGCGAGGUUAAUACCCUCGUGCUUUGAUGGUACUGGAAGAAUAAGCACCGGCUAACUACGUG